GGUUGACCUCGGAUCAGGUAGGGAUACCCGCUGAACUUAAGCAUAUCAAUAAGCGGAGGAAAAGAAACCAACCGGGAUUGCCUCAGUAACGGCGAGUGAAGCGGCAAGAGCUCAAAUUUGAAAUCUGGCCCCUCCGGGGUCCGAGUUGUAAUUUGUAGAGGAUGCUUCGGGUGCGGCCCCCGUCUAAGUGCUCUGGAACGGGCCAUCGGAGAGGGUGAGAAUCCCGUCUGGGACGGGGUGUCCGCGUCCAUGUGAAGCUCCUUCGACGAGUCGAGUUGUUUGGGAAUGCAGCUCUAAAUGGGUGGUAAAUUUCAUCUAAAGCUAAAUACUGGCCGGAGACCGAUAGCGCACAAGUAGAGUGAUCGAAAGAUGAAAAGCACUUUGAAAAGAGAGUUAAACAGCACGUGAAAUUGUUGAAAGGGAAGCGCUUGCGACCAGACUCGCUUCCGGGGUUCAGCCGGCUUUCGGGCCGGUGUACUUCCCCGGGGGCGGGCCAGCGUCGGUUUGGGCGGCCGGUCAAAGGCCCCUGGAAUGUAACGCCUCUCGGGGCGCCUUAUAGCCAGGGGUGUCAUGCGGCCAGCCUGGACCGAGGAACGCGCUUCGGCAC
Molecule: ribosomal RNA, 607 nt
Filed under: Aspergillus cristatus
Lineage: Eukaryota; Fungi; Ascomycota; Eurotiomycetes; Eurotiales; Aspergillaceae
Description: eukaryotic LSU rRNA
Rfam family: Eukaryotic large subunit ribosomal RNA
Source: RNAcentral